This 328-nucleotide ribosomal RNA is filed under the name uncultured soil bacterium. Its description in RNAcentral is "bacterial SSU rRNA". It matches the Rfam family "Bacterial small subunit ribosomal RNA", at positions 26 to 382 of the family's 1533-position model. The record is from RNAcentral.
AGAACGAACGCUGGCGGCAUGCCUAAUACAUGCAAGUCGAACGAACUCUUCGGAGUUAGUGGCGCACGGGUGCGUAACGCGUGGGAAUCUGCCCCUUGGUUCGGAAUAACAGUUGGAAACGACUGCUAAUACCGGAUGAUGACGAAAGUCCAAAGAUUUAUCGCCAAGGGAUGAGCCCGCGUAGGAUUAGCUAGUUGGUGAGGUAAAGGCUCACCAAGGCAACGAUCCUUAGCUGGUCUGAGAGGAUGAUCAGCCACACUGGGACUGAGACACGGCCCAGACUCCGUACGGAGGCAGCAGUAGGGAAUAUUGGACAAUGGGCGAAAGC